GCCUGGCUGGCUCAGUCAGCAGAGCAUGUGAUUCUUGAUCUCCAGGUCGUGAGUUCAAGACCCAUAUUGGGCA
Transfer RNA from Felis catus (domestic cat), 73 nucleotides. It matches the Rfam family "tRNA". From Rfam's summary of the family: Transfer RNA (tRNA) molecules are approximately 80 nucleotides in length. Their secondary structure includes four short double-helical elements and three loops (D, anti-codon, and T loops). Further hydrogen bonds mediate the characteristic L-shaped molecular structure. tRNAs have two regions of fundamental functional importance: the anti-codon, which is responsible for specific mRNA codon recognition, and the 3' end, to which the tRNAs corresponding amino acid is attached (by aminoacyl-tRNA synthetases). tRNAs cope with the degeneracy of the genetic code in two manners: having more than one tRNA (with a specific anti-codon) for a particular amino acid; and 'wobble' base-pairing, i.e. permitting non-standard base-pairing at the 3rd anti-codon position. NCBI's taxonomy places the organism in Eukaryota, Metazoa, Chordata, Mammalia, Carnivora, Felidae. The record is from Rfam.